GAUGAACGCUGGCGGCGUGCCUAAUACAUGCAAGUCGAGCGAACAGAUGAGGAGCUUGCUCCUCUGACGUUAGCGGCGGACGGGUGAGUAACACGUGGAUAACCUACCUAUAAGACUGGGAUAACUUCGGGAAACCGGAGCUAAUACCGGAUAAUAUAUUGAACCGCAUGGUUCAAUAGUGAAAGACGGUUUUGCUGUCACUUAUAGAUGGAUCCGCGCCGCAUUAGCUAGUUGGUAAGGUAACGGCUUACCAAGGCAACGAUGCGUAGCCGACCUGAGAGGGUGAUCGGCCACACGGGAACUGAGACACGGUCCAGACUCCUACGGGAGGCAGCAGUAGGGAAUCUUCCGCAAUGGGCGAAAGACUGACGGAGCAACGCCGCGUGAGUGAUGAAGGUCUUCGGAUCGUAAAACUCUGUUAUUAGGGAAGAACAAAUGUGUAAGUAACUAUGCACGUCUUGACGGUACCUAAUCAGAAAGCCACGGCUAACUACGUG
Molecule: ribosomal RNA, 497 nt
Filed under: uncultured bacterium
Lineage: Bacteria
Description: partial 16S ribosomal RNA
Rfam family: Bacterial small subunit ribosomal RNA
Source: RNAcentral